GACGAACGCUGGCGGCGUGCUUAACACAUGCAAGUCGAACGGAAAGGCCCUGCUUUUGUGGGGUGCUCGAUUGGCGAACGGGUGAGUAACACGUGAGUAACCUGCCCUUGACUUUGGGAUAACUUCAGGAAACUGGGGCUAAUACCGGAUAGGAUCUCCUGCUGCAUGGUGGGGGGUGGAAAGUUUCGGCGGUUGGGGAUGGACUCGCGGCUUAUCAGCUUGUUGGUGGGGUAGUGGCUUACCAAGGCUGUGACGGGUAGCCGGCCUGAGAGGGUGGACGGCGACAUUGGGACUGAGAGACGGACCAGACUCCUACGGGAGGCAGAAGUGGGGAGUAUGGCACAAUGGGCGGAAGCCUGAUGCAGCAACGCCGCGUGCGGGAUGACGGCCUUCGGGUUGUAAACCGCUUUCGCCUGUGACGAAGCGUGAGUGACGGUAAUGGGUAAAGAAGCACCGGCUAACUACGUG
This 468-nucleotide ribosomal RNA is filed under the name uncultured bacterium. RNAcentral's name for it is "partial 16S ribosomal RNA". It matches the Rfam family "Bacterial small subunit ribosomal RNA", at positions 28 to 507 of the family's 1533-position model. The record is from RNAcentral.